AGAGUCGAUUGGGCAGUCGCUGUCGCGCAAUAGCGCGGUGGAGGAAAGUCCGGGCUCCAUAGGGCAGAGUGCCAGGUAACGCCUGGGAGGCGCGAGCCUACGGAAAGUGCCACAGAAAAUAACCGCCUAAGCGCAGCAGCGCCGGUAAGGGUGAAAAGGUGCGGUAAGAGCGCACCGCACGGCUGGCAACAGUGCGUGGCUAGGUAAACCCCACUCGGAGCAAGACCAAAUAGGAAUCCAUUGGCGCGGCCCGCGUUGGAUUCGGGUAGGUCGCUUGAGGCGUACAGUGAUGUGCGUCCCAGAGGAAUGGCUGUCCUCGACAGAACCCGGCUUAUAGAUCGACUCUCCCA
This 350-nucleotide RNase P RNA is filed under the name Pseudomonas aeruginosa. RNAcentral's name for it is "bacterial RNase P". It matches the Rfam family "Bacterial RNase P class A". From Rfam's summary of the family: Ribonuclease P (RNase P) is a ubiquitous endoribonuclease, found in archaea, bacteria and eukarya as well as chloroplasts and mitochondria. Its best characterised activity is the generation of mature 5'-ends of tRNAs by cleaving the 5'-leader elements of precursor-tRNAs. The record is from RNAcentral. RNAcentral also lists the same sequence under 2 other names. Lineage: Bacteria; Pseudomonadati; Pseudomonadota; Gammaproteobacteria; Pseudomonadales; Pseudomonadaceae.